UGGGGAAUAUUGGGCAAUGGGCGAAAGCCUGACCCAGCAACGCCGCGUGAAGGAAGAAGGUUUUCGGAUUGUAAACUUCUGUCCUCAGGGAAGAAGGAAGUGACGGUACCUGAGGAGGAAGCCCCGGCUAACUACGUGCCAGCAGCCGCGGUAAUACGUAGGGGGCGAGCGUUGUCCGGAAUGACUGGGCGUAAAGGGCGCGUAGACGGCUUUUUAAGUCUGGAGUGAAAGUCCUGCUUUCAAGGUGGGAAUUGCUUUGGAGACUGGAAGGCUUGAGUGCGGAAGAGGUAAGUGGAAUUCCCAGUGUAGCAGUGAAAUGCGUAGAGAUGUGGAGGAACACCAAUGGCGAAGGCAGCCCCCUGGGUCGAUACUGACGCUCAUGCACGAAAGCGUGGGGAGCAAACAGG
Molecule: ribosomal RNA, 407 nt
Filed under: uncultured prokaryote
Description: bacterial SSU rRNA
Rfam family: Bacterial small subunit ribosomal RNA
Source: RNAcentral